CCUACGGGUGGCAGCAGUGAGGAAUAUUGGUCAAUGGACGAGAGUCUGAACCAGCCAAGUAGCGUGAAGGAUGACUGCCCUAUGGGUUGUAAACUUCUUUUAUAUGGGAAUAAAACGUUCCACGUGUGGGAUUUUGUAUGUACCAUAUGAAUAAGGAUCGGCUAACUCCGUGCCAGCAGCCGCGGUAAUACGGAGGAUCCGAGCGUUAUCCGGAUUUAUUGGGUUUAAAGGGAGCGUAGGUGGAUUGUUAAGUCAGUUGUGAAAGUUUGCGGCUCAACCGUAAAAUUGUAGUUGAAACUGGCAGUCUUGAGUACAGUAGAGGUGGGCGGAAUUCGUGGUGUAGCGGUGAAAUGCUUAGAUAUCACGAAGAACUCCGAUUGCGAAGGCAGUUCACUGGACUGCAACUGACACUGAGGCUCGAAAGUGUGGGUAUCAAACAGGAUUAGAUACCCCUGUAGUC
This 460-nucleotide ribosomal RNA is filed under the name uncultured bacterium. Its description in RNAcentral is "partial 16S ribosomal RNA". It matches the Rfam family "Bacterial small subunit ribosomal RNA", at positions 338 to 795 of the family's 1533-position model. The record is from RNAcentral.